This is a long non-coding RNA of Eucalyptus grandis, 2282 nucleotides long. RefSeq lists it as uncharacterized. The transcript has 5 exons. The record is from RefSeq and is a predicted model, not a curated record. NCBI's taxonomy places the organism in Eukaryota, Viridiplantae, Streptophyta, Magnoliopsida, Myrtales, Myrtaceae.
AGUUUGGAUGGUGAUGGCAAAUGGCUUGGUCGAAUUCGAGCUUGGCCUGUCGUCUUGACAUUUAAGCAGGCGUGCUUCCAUUUCAGCUUCAGUUUGACAAACCGCCUGGCUUCUCAGGCUCAGCUCCCAUUAGGCAUUCUUUGGUGACCUAAUGGGCAAGUCGAUUCAGUUUUGUGAGGGGUUUGGUCAAUUUCCGAUUGGCAGGUGAAGAUGGGGUGAGUGGAAUCUGGAGAAGGAUUUGCUGGCGAUGGUCACAGAGCACUCGAAGGUGGGUGCUUUGGGUGCUUCGAUGCUUCAAUUGGUAGAGGCUGUGGACAAUCUCUCCUAGGUAAAUGUGUAACAUCAUUAUGCCGGUGUCCUGAUGGCAAGGUUGUUGUCUUGGGACUUGAAGACGGUACAGUUUUACUGCAUGAUGUCGAAGUAAGUUUUCUAUGUUGUUACUUGAACUACGUUUUCUAUGUUGUUACUUGAACGUUACCCUCAUUACUUCUCAACUAGAUAUUCCUCCUGAAACAUUCCUUUAUCAUCAAAACGUGUUUUUCUCUAGUCUCUCUUGGGAAAUAUUCUGAAUUGCUCAAAAUCUGCAUGAUGCAAUGCAAACAACAAACUUGCUAACUGAACAUUCAGCUGCUAAUAGAGGUGGCACUCCAUUUUUAUUGGUCAUGUCCCUCAAUGUCAAGUUAACAAUGGAUUGGUAGAUAGGUCAAUCUGAGCAGGAUAAGAUUAACAAAAAAUUUAUUAGAAAAUUCUAUUUGAACAUGACCCAUUUGUUAAAUAGGCAAGAGAUGUAUAACCCGUUUAACUAAUUUGAUUGAAUUGAAUGGGUCAUUCCCAUCCUAACAUGACCAACGUGACAUAUGUACCAUAUGCAUAUCUUCAUCAAUGUCAAAUAAGUUUGAAAAGGGACUAGCCAUAAGCUUACAAAAUCCUAGGUUUACAUGAAAUGUUUUAUUUAUAUGGUGUGAUCAAAUCAUAAUAUGUAACAACUAAGGAAACCAAAUUUAUGUAUGAUUUUUUAUUAGAGAACUUACUAAACUAAAUAUAAACAGGUCAUGAUAGGUCUGGUUGUUGAUCAAGUUGGCUCUAUCAUUUAGUUAUAUAGAUUACAUGAGUCAAUCUGUCUUUGCGGUUUGAACUUUGAACAUGGAACAAUAUUCGUUUAUUAAUUAACUGUUAAGUAGGUAGCCUCACCUAAGUGGUCACAUGGAAAUGUGAGUCAUGAAUAAAAAAAAAUUAAAUCUUUCGAUUGUGGAUCGUGAUUUUCAUCCAAUGGAAUCAUAAAAUCUGAUAUAAUGUUUGAGAUUGGUAUUCCAUGACAUAUGUAAAUUAAUUAUUAGAUAAUAACUAAUCACAAAGAUACUUCAAAUUCAACUAAUUUUAUUAUCUCCAGACAUGAAAUAUUGCUACAAAUUAUUUUUCUUUUGCCCAAUGAGUACCCAUUUGACUGCAAGGACGCAAAGAUCUUAUACAUAGUAUUGUAAUUGGAUUCCCAUUCAUAGAAUUGAGUAUGAGACAAUCAAAACAUCCACUAAGCCUGAUGCAGCCAACAAAAUCAUGCAGGAUGACUACCAAGUUUUUGGUGAAGAUUGACUUUGAAACUCAAACAAGGAUCAGGAUUCUUCUUGAAGUUUAAUCACUAAAAUUAUCAACUAGGAUUUGAGUAUUAUUAGGAUUUUACAAAAUUUCCUUUUCUUUCUUUUUUUAAGCUUGCAUAGUAGGAUCUUACGUAUACUCCAAUAAUGUUUCUUGUUAUUGAACUUGGCAAGUGUUUGCUUUGCAGAUUGUGUGAUGCAAUUCAUCUUUGGCAUGAUGCUUAAGAAACCCUGGUCAAUCAAUAUAGAUGGAUCCGAAAUCUGAUUUAAAUCUAAUAUAGCACUUAUGGAUCCACAAGAAUUGCUGAGAAGAGAAGUUUAUACAUAAUGAAUGUUACUUACCAAAAAUGGAAAACUCUUGAGAAGCUUGAAGUAUGGCAGUUGGGGUGUGUCCCAACUGGGAGGAGGAUGUCCAAGUGAAUGGAGUAUGGCAUCUUUCAACUUAAAAGUUGAAUGCUUCUAGUAACUCUUUGGCAUUUGAAGAUCGCACUACUCAAUUCUUCCCUCCAGCUCCAGGAGUUCCUCGAAUGCCUGGACUAGUACCCGGAGAUGCUGGUUUAACUAACAAGGUUCAAGAUUCAUUUGUAGAGCUCUCAAAUUCUUCAAAGCAAUGUUUGCAUAGCCUUUGCAGUGGAGAUAUAGAUGGGGUUUUGCACUUUCGUAUAUUUGGUGUCUUCCUAAUCGAAAAUA